Musa acuminata AAA Group (dessert banana) is the source of this 3593-nucleotide long non-coding RNA. RefSeq lists it as uncharacterized. The transcript is spliced from 11 exons. Lineage: Eukaryota; Viridiplantae; Streptophyta; Magnoliopsida; Zingiberales; Musaceae. The record is from RefSeq and is a predicted model, not a curated record.
UAAACGCUCUCACCCUAUCAGGUGACAUCGCCUCCGGAAGCCUUCAAGCAGACGGCGAUCGGGGGCGAAGCGGUCCGUCACGCGCCAUGACGACCCCCAGUUUUUGAAGCCGUAGAAUAUGUUGACAACGAUCCAAUAUAAUACUCAACUUUAUGGCUCAUUUUGAAGAUUUGGCAGUCUUUGUGCUCGAUCAUAGAUCAUGCAUACGACUGGCGGUGCGUGUCCAAGAGCAGCUGUAGCAUCAUGUGAAGGAAUUCAGCAAUGUCAUCAUUAUAUGUAGUUUCUUUGGGGAACUUAAGACUCUCAAGAUCAUCAUUCAACUCCUUCACCAGUGCAUCCAGGUAUCUAGCUUCCCCUGUUGCAUGAGGCCUUGUCAUGGCACAGCCUGGUUGCUGGUUUGUAGAACACCAACUGGAAUAUCAAUUUUGAAAAUUUCUUGUGCUGUGUUGCGGAAAUGCUGAUUGUUAAUCAGAAGUUGCAUGAGGAAAUGUUCAUCCUUGGUUGUGGUUCUGAAUCUACACUGAUGGAAGCUUCUUGCUCUGGUAAAGCCUCCAAAGCUGAUUUUAUUAUGUCAUCAUCCUGGGAGAAAAAUGUAUGAGAUGCUAGCAGGCCAAUAAACAGAAUAUAGUGCAAAAGCUUCAUGGAGUUGUGUCCUGGCCAUAAUGAGGUUUUCAUAUUAUUCUAGCAAAAUGAAUUCACAAUGAAUCAGUCAAUUAAUCAGGCAAAAAAGAGAUAUUUUCAUCGCUCAGAGUCAAUGCAGAUCGACUUUGUUGCUUCAAUGCUUGGAGAGAGGAUAACUUACAUUGGUCUCCGCAACUGUCUCCUCUUCUAAUACUUCUUUGUCUUCGCCAGCAUCAACUGAAGAAUUAUCUGAAACCAAGUUGGAAAAUUUACAGGCUUCAUCAAUGUUUUCACCAGAAUUUGAGGCAGCUCUUUAUCAGUUCUUGAAUAUGUCUGUAAGAGCUUCGUAUCUUCAGAGUUCUUAUGUGAUGACGUUCUAUCCAAUUCAACAUAGGCAGAGGUCACCUUCUUGGUUUGAUUUGCUGAUAAGCUGGCGAACUGAUUCAGAUAUGUUUCUUCUCUCUUCUUCUUUUUCUGCCUUUUCUCUCAGUUGUACCAAAUUCUUCUUGGCUAUCCCUUCUUUUAAACUGUGGUUUAUGUCGAUGUUCUCGAUCUUCCUAUUGAUUUCAAGAUGCCUCUUUGGUGCAUGAUUUGACAAUGGAGUCAUGUUCCGUAUAUAAUUUGUCUUCUCCUUGCUGCUUUUGUCCUUAGUUUCGUCAACGCCGUUUUCAUUCAGAAUCUUGUUCUCUUUUCUCACUUUUUCAUCUGCUAUUGACGUCUGACCUAUCACCAUCUCUUUCUUAGACUUCGGUUCUUUCUUUCCUUCAACUUUUUUCCCCUCAGCCUUGGGCAUUGGAAGUUCUUCAAGGCCCAUAAGUUUAGCAACAAUAUUUGGCAUUCUUACACUGCUGCUCACCAGGCUUUUAGGAUCCAACUGCUUGGUGUUCUUUGAAGCAGAGAACUUGCCACUACCAGUUGAGAAGUUUCCAGGUUCACCACCAUGGCCUUGUUUGUGUGUAAUGCCUGAAUACAAGGAAUUAGGUAGCGAUCCAGGACCACAACUCAGAGACUGUUUGUGUGUAUCGACUUGCGUUGAUGCAUCUAAUGAACUCUGACUAUAAUUUGUUUUGGCUAUGCUUUUUUUCAUAGAAGAUGAUGGCGUUUUUCUCUGCCCUUGAAUUCUGGUAUCAUCAUUUGCUUUGGUGAAUUUGUAGAAAUGGUUGAUGGACCCAUCAAAAGAAAUUCUGGGCUUGUACAUUAGAGCCUUCCGAUUGUCUUUGACGUCAGAUGUUUCAUCGUCUUCCACACCCUCGAGCAAUUUGAUCUGCCUCCCUUGAGAGCCAACCAUGUAAUCUGAAGCCUCCUGCAGGGUGGCAAGCAUUUUCAAUGACUCUUCCAAAUCUAUGGCCCCUUUCAACAAUUCUCUUCCAAUCUGAAUUGAAUCCUUUCCAAAAUUUGUCCUAUCGGAGAAGGUUUCGAGGAUCUUAUUCAAUUUCUGAACACCUUUUGAUAUUUCACCGACUUGCAAGUUGGAUAAAAAAGGAUAUCGAUCGGCAUGAUGUUUCGUGCUGUAUAACAAGUGUUGAUUUGCAGUUCCUGCAUAAUAUAUAGAUCCACUCUGUGGAAUGAGCUCGUUACCAAAUUUAGCUAUGUAAUGAAGUUUUCCACUAUUACUGAGUGCCAGUGCUAGUGCCAUUGACACAUCGACAGAAUUCUGAAUGCUUGUGGCUCUUCCAACAGGAACAAUCUCCCGUGAAACAACUUGAGGAGCAGCUGUUUUGUUAUGUUUGGUGCUGAGCCAUAUUUCCGUCACUUGUGCGCUGACCGGAUUCUUGCUGCUCUGCAAACUCUGCCAACAAGAACAAAAAUAACAUCACUGAAUGGUGCAUACAGCCGAACAUAUUCCAUUAUUUAAAAAGUUGUGUUUAAGGAACUUGCAUAGUUCUUCUUCUUCAUUAUGUCUCCUGUUCCUCUGGACGACCGUCGGGAGCUGACAUGAUACUCUACAAUAUUAUUCAAAGAAGAUGAUUAACAUGUCGAGCAUAUAAUUCUCAAGCCAGGGAUAUAUAGGAUAUCUUUUAAAAAUAUCAUCAUUUGUGUUAUUAUGCCGGAAAUGGCACUGAUAUGCAUUUCUUGUUGCAAAGGCUGCUGCAUCUAUGCCCAAAAUAUGGAAUGAAACAGCGAAGAUGCAGAAUUAUUUCAAGCAUAGAACAAGCUCGUCUGAUGAAGGGAUCUUAGGUCCUCCUAAGAGUUCUGUUCAGAAGACCUUGUUUCAGAGUAUCUUGUUCAAACGGAUCAUGGAGGAAGCUGUCUACCCCAUUCACCGAAUAAGCAGGUGGCUGCGCCGGUUGCUGUCCCGAUGACGAUGCAACAUAUCCCAGCUUCUCCUUCCUCCUCCUGAUGUCAUCCAACAGCUUCUGUGCAAAAUCCGGUCGCUUCGCCAUAGACACACUCUUCUUCUUUCUCCUGUUAACCUUGUCGCCGCACCGUGGAGUUCUCCAUGGCCUUCACCUUGAGAUAUCCGGUGGAGAUCAGCGUGAUGGUUAUUUGUUUCACCGACGCAGAUUCUGCAGCUGUUGCUGCAUGAGUGCGUCCGCGUCUGUCUUGGCUCCAUUCCAAGCAAAGCAAGAGGCCUUCUCCUUGCGGAAGACUUCUUCCCAAGCUUGCACGCAAAGCUUCUUCGGCUGAGGAAGUGGGAGGUCUUGUAAGAGGUGGUGUGUCGUCGCAUGGGCGGUGAAAUGCCGGUGUCGAUGUUACGUCUCCUCCUUUUUUUGUUUUAGCAGCCAAAAACCCGCCAUGGAUUGUGUUGAUCCAUCUAUUGGAGCCAUGACAUCUUUUAGCUUUGAAGGAUUCAUCCCAACCACCGUUUCGACUAAUCUGAUGGACUUUACCUCGAAGAUCUCGAUUCUUUAUCUGUAGUAUGAAUUGUUAAAGUUAUGGCAAUGGGGCCAAACACCAUAGUAGGAUGAGGACACUGAAAAGUACAGUUUACCUGUUCUGAUGAGUUGGAUAGAAUUAGAGAGAUUUCUUUA